This 396-nucleotide ribosomal RNA is filed under the name uncultured bacterium. Its description in RNAcentral is "bacterial SSU rRNA". It matches the Rfam family "Bacterial small subunit ribosomal RNA", at positions 30 to 428 of the family's 1533-position model. The record is from RNAcentral.
AUUGAACGCUGGCGGCAUGCCUUACACAUGCAAGUCGAACGGCAGCACGGGAGCAAUCCUGGUGGCGAGUGGCGAACGGGUGAGUAAUAUAUCGGAACGUGCCCAGUCGUGGGGGAUAACGUAGCGAAAGCUACGCUAAUACCGCAUACGAUCUAUGGAUGAAAGCGGGGGAUCGCAAGACCUUGCGCUGAUUGAGCGGCCGAUAUCAGAUUAGCUAGUUGGUGAGGUAAAGGCUCACCAAGGCGACGAUCUGUAGCGGGUCUGAGGGGAUGAUCCGCCACACUGGAACUGAGACACGGUCCAGACUCCUACGGGAGGCAGCAGUGGGGAAUUUUGGACAAUGGGCGCAAGCCUGAUCCAGCCAUGCCGCGUGAGUGAAGAAGGCCUCGGUUGUAA